RNAcentral lists this non-coding RNA (101 nucleotides) under human oral metagenome. RNAcentral describes it as "SAM riboswitch (S box leader)". It matches the Rfam family "SAM riboswitch aptamer (S box leader)". From Rfam's summary of the family: The SAM riboswitch is found upstream of a number of genes which code for proteins involved in methionine or cysteine biosynthesis in Gram-positive bacteria. The record is from RNAcentral.
CUCAUCCAGAGCAGCGGAGGGACUGGCCCGAUGAAGCUGCGGCAACCAUUGACGAAGUCAAACGGUGCCAAUUCCGAUAGGCGGAUGCCUAAAAGAUGAGA